GUUGUCCAGAAAAUGAAUAUUAGUUCAGCUUUAAAAAUACCAAAAAUAUGAACAAAUUAUAAUGUAUUUUUAAAAGUUAGUCUAAAAAGGUACAGCCUUUUAGAAAUGGAUACAACCUUAACUAGAGAGUAAACCCUAACAUUAAACCAUAGUGGGCCUAAAAGCAGCCACCAAUUAAGAAAGCGUUAAAGCUCAACAAUAAAAUAAUACUAAUUCCAAUAAUAAACAGUCAACUCCUAGUCUAAUACUGGACUAAUCUAUUAAAAAUAGAAGCAAUAAUGUUAACAUGAGUAACAAGAAAUAACUUCUCCCCGCAUAAGUUUAAGUCAGUAUCUGAUAAUACUCUGACUAUUAACAGCAAAAUAAGAAUAACCUAACUAUAAAUAACUUAUUAACUAUACUGUUAAUCCGACACAGGAAUGCACUUAGGGAAAGAUUAAAAGAAGUAAAAGGAACUCGGCAAACACUAAACCCCGCCUGUUUACCAAAAACAUCACCUCCAGCAUAACUAGUAUUGGAGGCACUGCCUGCCCAGUGACGACCGUUAAACGGCCGCGGUAUCCUG
RNAcentral lists this ribosomal RNA (565 nucleotides) under Cervus elaphus hippelaphus. Its description in RNAcentral is "partial 16S ribosomal RNA". The record is from RNAcentral. Lineage: Eukaryota; Metazoa; Chordata; Mammalia; Artiodactyla; Cervidae.